This is a long non-coding RNA of Astatotilapia calliptera (eastern happy), 1239 nucleotides long. The record is from Ensembl. NCBI's taxonomy places the organism in Eukaryota, Metazoa, Chordata, Actinopteri, Cichliformes, Cichlidae.
CAAGGGAGGUGUGGCUAACGUAGUAUUUAAACUCAUCCCUUUGUCAGUUUGGAUCUCACUUUCAGUGGGUAAUCAGAGUUCAAAAUGUUCGUGCUUUGGGCGCUACGAUUUGCUUGGGUGAUUUUUGCUUGUGGAGGAACCAGCGCAGCCUCCAGAAACAACUGUUAUCGACUGUAAUGGAACAUGGUAUGACAUCCAAGAGGCUACUUGCUGUGAAAACAAACUUUACCCUGGUGCAAGUCUCUCUUGUUGUGGAAAUGAGCCUUACAAUCUGGAAACAGCCACUUGUUGUAAAGUACAGCAUGAGCACGACAUCAUAGCCAGUGUUGACCAGGGUCUGAAUGAAAAGGUAUCCAAGUGCUGUGACCUGAAGGCGUACAACCCAGUCAAUGAAAUGUGUUGUCAGUCAACCAUCACAGCAAAACCUGGACCAAUGGCUGAAUGUUGUGGUAAAGAGGUUUUUGAUAAGGAUAAGCAGUUGUGUUGUGGUCCAACUGAUAACAGGAUAAUUUUGGUGAGGAAUUCUAGCCACCACCGGUGCUGUGGCCACAACCAGUAUGACACCAAGACUCAGUGCUGCUGUACAAAUAAGGAAAACAUUCUGGAGAUACAACCUAAAGAUUCAGACUGCUGCAUGGAGGACUCUCCAGCAGUUCUUCCAUGUGGAAAUAUAACCUUCAACAAACAUACGCAACUAUGCUGUCAGUUAAAUGUUGUUCACAAAUCUCCACAGAAGUACAAAUGUUGUGAUAAAAGGGCAUAUGAUGUGGAAAAGGAGCUGUGUUGUGGCCCAAGUAAUAACAAAAUAAUUCUAAUGAGGAAUUCCGGUAAUCACCAGUGCUGUGGUCACAACCAUUAUGACACUGACACUCAGUGUUGCUUUUUGAAUAAGGAGGGUGUUCUUGAGAUUCAACCUAAGGAUCCAUCUGGCUGUGUGAGAGAAAAGACAGUUGAGCGCCAGUCUAAGUGCACUGAACCAAAAACACAUCUCUGUGGGUCGUUAUGUUACAAUCCAAAGGAACGUCGCUGCUGUGAGAGAAAUCAAGAAUCUCACUGGUUCUGUGCCUCAGGUAACACCGUCUCCAUGUUUGUUUGUUUUGAUAUGUGGUUGCCUUAUCUGUCAGUUACCAUCUCAUGGGACUUACCCAUCACUCUGUGAUGCCAGCACGGCUUCCAGCAAAGCAGUUAGCUCAGUUUUUUUUAUCUUGUGUGAAAGAGAAAAACAUCUUUCAAAGAAAC